Molecule: transfer RNA, 68 nt
Filed under: Marmota monax (woodchuck)
Lineage: Eukaryota; Metazoa; Chordata; Mammalia; Rodentia; Sciuridae
Description: tRNA.Ala
Rfam family: tRNA (bases 7-63)
About the family: Transfer RNA (tRNA) molecules are approximately 80 nucleotides in length. Their secondary structure includes four short double-helical elements and three loops (D, anti-codon, and T loops).
Source: RNAcentral
GGAAUAUGCCUCAGUGGUAGAGCACUUGCCUGGCAUGCAUGAAGUCCUGGGUUCAAUCCCCAGCACCA